This 98-nucleotide Y RNA is filed under the name Choloepus hoffmanni (Hoffmann's two-fingered sloth). RNAcentral's name for it is "Y RNA (ENSCHOG00000014676.1)". It matches the Rfam family "Y RNA". Rfam says of the family: Y RNAs are components of the Ro ribonucleoprotein particle (Ro RNP), in association with Ro60 and La proteins. The record is from RNAcentral. Lineage: Eukaryota; Metazoa; Chordata; Mammalia; Pilosa; Megalonychidae.
GGCUGGUCCGAUGGUAGUGGGUUAUCAGAACUUAUUAACAUUAGUGUCACUAAAAAGUUGGUAUACAACCCCCCACUGCUGAAUUUGACUGGCUUAAA